This 148-nucleotide unclassified non-coding RNA is filed under the name soil metagenome. RNAcentral describes it as "partial internal transcribed spacer 1". The record is from RNAcentral.
CCGAGUUAUACAACUCCUCAACCCUGUGAACAUACCUAAACUUGUUGCCUCGGCGGGAACAGCCGCGCCCUGUAAAACGGGACGCCCCGCCAGAGGACCCCUAACUCUGUUUCUAUAAUGUACUUCUGAGUAAACCAGAAAUAAAUCA